Scylla paramamosain (green mud crab) is the source of this 1940-nucleotide RNA transcript. RefSeq lists it as uncharacterized. Lineage: Eukaryota; Metazoa; Arthropoda; Malacostraca; Decapoda; Portunidae. The transcript is spliced from 7 exons. The record is from RefSeq and is a predicted model, not a curated record.
GGGAGUACCAGCGUGGGCUGUAGUGUCGAGGAACCUGCCUUGUUUCUUGAUUUUCAUACGUUUUAAGCGUUCUACAACCCAGAAAUUGUUAACGUUGAUCCUGGACAUUGUACAGUUAUAGCAGUUACUGUGUGGUUUUGAAACAGUGAGUGAGUGCCUUCGUGAGUGACACAGGUGAGGAAGACUGGCAGGUACUGAAAUAAUGUUUUCACUCGGCUAACGCUUGGAAAGACUUGAGUGGCCUCGGCUUGCUGUCAAGUGUCGUGGUGUGGUGAGGUGCAGAACAACGUGUAUCUCAGGGAAGAAAGCAACUUUUGAACUCGCGGAAUAACACAGAGGAGCCCGGGAUGACCUGAGAGUUGGAGCAGUUGACGGUGGUGACUGUGAUGAAGUCGAAUAGGUCUUCAAUACUGGACAGGAGUUUGUUUAAAAAUACGACUAGCCUGCCGUUCUCUUGCAUUCAGUUAUAUUCGCUGCAAUAUUCACGACAUACUGUGUUUUGUAAAAUAACAUUACUAAACGCUGCCGUGCUGUUCAUCCUGAGUGCAGAGUGUUUGUGACUGACACGAGCAGUGAAUGACAGAAACAGGAGCAUUUUGGUGAACAAACUUUGAUGACCGUGUCCAGCCCUCAUGGCCCCUCCACGUGUGCCUCAGGCUGGCAAUGGGGGCACCUCCUUCACUGUGGCCUUCACUGCACCCACUAAACGCCCUGGUAUAUCCACUGGGGGGCACAAACGGCCCAGCAGGAACCCACCUCAAAGCAGGAUAACGCCUAGAGUCACCUCUGUAAAAAAGCAGUCAGUGGGCGUGAACCUGAAGGGGCCUCGACAAGGGGAGCGCGACGGAAGCAGGACCGAGAAUGUGGCGUUUGACCCUGGGGGAGGCGGCGCUGCAGCAGGGGCGGUGGGGGAGGAAGUACCAAGACGCCCCAGGAUACGCCCCGCCCCGCCCCUCCCCAAACCUGAACCGAAGAUAGUGAAGCCCAAAGGGAAGAUGACGCAGAAGGAGUUCGAGCCAGAGGCCUUCCUCAACGCCGGCUGUGGCUUCUGGGGACGAGCGCAGCCCACGGAACCCCAGCGGCCGACUCCUCCUACAGACAAGCCUCCUGAUCACCACGUCAAACAGCAACAGAUGCAACAGCAACCCCAGCAAUAUCAAGCGCCGACACAGCAGCAGCAGAUACAGCAAACAUAUCAACCUCCCAAUCCUUAUCGCCAUCCCCAACAGUAGCAGCAACAGGAACAGGUAUAUCAGAAUGGCGCAGCGCAGAGUCAGCCACGCACAUAUCAGCAGGCGCCUCACCCUUACCCCCCAAUGUCGGCGCCUCAGCAGCAGCACCACCAGGCCUACCCCGCCGUCACCACGCAGCAGCAGCUGCCAAUGGGCUUUGCUGGGUUUGGCGGAGCUCCGGUGUACGUGGUGCUGCCCUCUCCCGGUGGGGGCAUGGUUCCCUCUGCAGACCCCGGCGGCCCACAACUACAGGAGAUCCUAAGGAAUCUCCCUUACACUCCCAGCAGCCGCGGCGUGACCAUUUAUGAGCUGCCGGAAGGGUCCACACAGAAGACGACGCGGGCGCCAGACUCAACGCCCCCGUCAGCGGCGUCCUCUCAAGGCUCUGUCGGAUCGCGGUGGUCGGCGGCAUCAGGAGGCAGCCACAGUGACGACCGCAGUGCUGGACGGGCGCGCUGGGGGGACAGGGGCGUGGGCGUGGGUCACCUGUGGGCCCCGGGGGAGGACACUGUUCCUGGAAGUCUUUCACUCACGUUAUGGAGAACAAAUAACAUGUAAACCUUCUUCACAGUCUUAAUUUAACAGCAGCACCAACAAAAACAACAACAACAACAACAACAACAAAAACAAACAAACAAACGAACGGCAAACACGCAUCAAGUUCCACAAUUCCAAGUGUCCAAAAGUUCGAAUAUAUUUUUGUCUUUU